RNAcentral lists this transfer RNA (61 nucleotides) under Chloriona tateyamana. RNAcentral's name for it is "tRNA-Ala". The record is from RNAcentral. Lineage: Eukaryota; Metazoa; Arthropoda; Insecta; Hemiptera; Delphacidae.
AGGAGAAUAGUUAACUAUAACAUUUAAGUUGCAAUUAAAAAGUACAUAUUUGUUUCUCUUA